UCCUACGGGAGGCAGCAGGCGCGCAAAUUACCCAAUCCUGACACAGGGAGGUAGUGACAAAAAAUAACAAUACCUGGCCUCAAUAGGUCGGGUAAUUGGAAUGAGUACAAUUUAGAUCCCUUAACGAGGAUCAAUUGGAGGGCAAGUCUGGUGCCAGCAGCCGCGGUAAU
This 170-nucleotide ribosomal RNA is filed under the name uncultured bacterium. RNAcentral describes it as "partial 16S ribosomal RNA". It matches the Rfam family "Eukaryotic small subunit ribosomal RNA", at positions 414 to 583 of the family's 1831-position model. The record is from RNAcentral.